Molecule: ribosomal RNA, 521 nt
Filed under: fungal sp. SYL103
Lineage: Eukaryota; Fungi
Description: eukaryotic LSU rRNA
Rfam family: 5.8S ribosomal RNA (bases 204-357)
Source: RNAcentral
UUCCGUAGGUGAACCUGCGGAGGGAUCAUUACUGAGUUUACGCUCUACAACCCUUUGUGAACAUACCUAUAACUGUUGCUUCGGCGGGUAGGGUCUCCGCGACCCUCCCGGCCUCCCGCCUCCGGGCGGGUCGGCGCCCGCCGGAGGAUAACCAAACUCUGAUUUAACGACGUUUCUUCUGAGUGGUACAAGCAAAUAAUCAAAACUUUUAACAACGGAUCUCUUGGUUCUGGCAUCGAUGAAGAACGCAGCGAAAUGCGAUAAGUAAUGUGAAUUGCAGAAUUCAGUGAAUCAUCGAAUCUUUGAACGCACAUUGCGCCCGCCAGCAUUCUGGCGGGCAUGCCUGUUCGAGCGUCAUUUCAACCCUCAAGCUCUGCUUGGUGUUGGGGCCCUACAGCUGAUGUAGGCCCUCAAAGGUAGUGGCGGACCCUCUCGGAGCCUCCUUUGCGUAGUAACUUUACGUCUCGCACUGGGAUCCGGAGGGACUCUUGCCGUAAAACCCCCAAUUUUCCAAAGGUUGA